GAUGAACGCUGGCGGCGUGCCUAAUACAUGCAAGUCGAGCGAACGGACGAGAAUCUUGCUUCUCUGAUGUUAGCGGCUGACGGGUGAGUAACACGUGUAUAACCUACCUAUAAGACUGGUAUAACUUCGGGAAACCUUAGCUAAUACCGGAUAAUAUUUUGAACCUCAUGGUUCAAAAGUGAAAUACGGUCUUUCUGUCACUUAUAGAUGUAUCCGCGCUGCAUUAGCUAGUUGGUAAGGUAACGGCUUACCAAGGCAACGAUGCAUAGCCGACCUGAUAGGGGGAUAGGGGAAACGGGAACUGAGAAACGGUCAAGAGGCCGACGGGAGGCAGCAGAAGGGAAUCUUCGGCAAUGGGGGAAAGCAUGACGGAGCAAAGCGGCGUGAGGGAUGAAGGUCUUCGGAUCGUAAAACUCUGUUAUUAGGGAAGAAAAUAUGUGUAAGUAACUGUGCACAUCUUGACGGUACCUAAUCAGAAAGCCACGGCUAACUACGUG
RNAcentral lists this ribosomal RNA (497 nucleotides) under uncultured bacterium. Its description in RNAcentral is "partial 16S ribosomal RNA". It matches the Rfam family "Bacterial small subunit ribosomal RNA", at positions 28 to 507 of the family's 1533-position model. The record is from RNAcentral.